UACGUAGGGACCAAGCGUUGUUCGGAUUUACUGGGCGUAAAGGGCGCGUAGGCGGCUUGACAAGUCACUUGUGAAAUCUCCGGGCUUAACUCGGAACGGCCAAGUGAAACUGUCAUGCUAGAGUGCAGAAGGGGCAAUCGGAAUUCUUGGUGUAGCGGUGAAAUGCGUAGAUAUCAGGAGGAACACCGGUGGCGAAGGCGGGUCUCUGGGCCGAUAUUGACGCUGAGGAGCGAAAGCGUGGGGAGCGAACAGG
This 253-nucleotide ribosomal RNA is filed under the name uncultured bacterium. RNAcentral's name for it is "partial 16S ribosomal RNA". It matches the Rfam family "Bacterial small subunit ribosomal RNA", at positions 524 to 776 of the family's 1533-position model. The record is from RNAcentral.